CUUUCUUUGCUGGCGACCGGCGCACGGGUGAGUAACACGUAUCCAACCUGCCCUUUACUCGGGGAUAGCCUUUCGAAAGAAAGAUUAAUACCCGAUAGUAUAAUGAUUCCGCAUGGUUUGAUUAUUAAAGGAUUCCGGUAAAGGAUGGGGAUGCGUUCCAUUAGGUUGUUGGUGAGGUAACGGCUCACCAAGCCUUCGAUGGAUAGGGGUUCUGAGAGGAAGGUCCCCCACAUUGGAACUGAGACACGGUCCAA
Molecule: ribosomal RNA, 254 nt
Filed under: uncultured bacterium
Lineage: Bacteria
Description: partial 16S ribosomal RNA
Rfam family: Bacterial small subunit ribosomal RNA
Source: RNAcentral